This 253-nucleotide ribosomal RNA is filed under the name uncultured bacterium. RNAcentral describes it as "partial 16S ribosomal RNA". It matches the Rfam family "Bacterial small subunit ribosomal RNA", at positions 524 to 776 of the family's 1533-position model. The record is from RNAcentral.
UACAGAGGUGGCAAGCGUUGUUCGGAAUUACUGGGCGUAAAGGGCGCGUAGGCGGUUCGUUAAGUCCUGUGUGAAAUCCCCCGGCUCAACUGGGGAACUGCACAGGAAACUAGCGGGCUUGAAUUCGGGAGAGGGAUGCAGAAUUCCAGGUGUAGCGGUGAAAUGCGUAGAUAUCUGGAGGAACACCGGUGGCGAAGGCGGCAUCCUGGACCGGUAUUGACGCUGAGGCGCGAAAGCCAGGGGAGCAAACGGU